This 817-nucleotide long non-coding RNA is filed under the name Malus domestica (apple). RNAcentral's name for it is "long non-coding RNA (MDOM_LNC017575)". Lineage: Eukaryota; Viridiplantae; Streptophyta; Magnoliopsida; Rosales; Rosaceae. The record is from RNAcentral.
UGGAAGGGGUUUUUUUAGAUGCCAACCUAUUUUUUUAGGCUUUGGGCCAGCCUCUUAGAGAGGGCUGGAGUUGCCAUUAGGGAGUGAAAUAAUAUGGAGCUGUGUUGGGUGGGUCUUUUUAGUCUGGAAUUGUGUCUAGGUUCAAUUUGACAUUUCUCAUGUCUUUUGGUCAGAAGCUUCAAUUUUGACAUUUCAAGUUAGUGAGUUAUCAUGUUGUUGUAGGUUCGACCGUUAAGUGUAAUCGUCAUGAGAUUUAAAAAAUUUCACUUACAAGCGAAAAAAAAUAUUUUGUCAUUGAGCGAGUUGACUAUACUAGCUUUUCACACCAAUUUUCUUAUACAAAAGUUAAAAAUAAUUUUGAAUAAAAUAUAACAUUGUGUUUCCAAAAAAACAAGAAAAAUUUCGGUAUAAGGCUUAUGUUUAACGUUGAGAGCUAAACAUAGCGCAAGUUAGUUCAUCUUCAGCCAAAAAGUUAUAGGCCACUUCUAGCUCAGAUUUGUGAAAAAUGUGUCUCUGGCCAAUGACCAAAAUGAAUGUGUUAAAAAGAAUCACAGUCAAAUUUAGCAAACCCGCAAGUAAGCUUCAUGAGCAAGCAAAGUUGGAGACGAAACUGACUUCAGAGUUCAGAGUAGAGUCACUGCUCGUGAAAUUGUGACCUAGGAUAUAUACACUCACAUACACAAAGAGAUAGGAACCCUACAUAAGCUUCACUAACAAGACGACCUUUACUUAGGGUUGGAAAAAAAUCCCGAAAAUUCCCAAACCAAACAAAAAAAAUCUCAAUCCCAAACCAAUAAAAUUCUGAUCCCAAACCAAA